UACGAAGGGUGCAAACGUUGCUCGGAAUCAUUGGGCGUAAAGCGCGUGUAGGCGGCCCGAUAAGUCCGCUGUGAAAGUCCAGGGCUCAACCCUGGGAUGCCGGUGGAUACUGUCGGGCUCGAGUCCGGAAGAGGCGAGUGGAAUUCCUGGUGUAGCGGUGAAAUGCGCAGAUAUCAGGAGGAACACCAAUGGCGAAGGCAGCUCGCUGGGACGUGACUGACGCUGAGACGCGAAAGCGUGGGGAGCAAACAGG
RNAcentral lists this ribosomal RNA (253 nucleotides) under uncultured bacterium. Its description in RNAcentral is "partial 16S ribosomal RNA". It matches the Rfam family "Bacterial small subunit ribosomal RNA", at positions 524 to 776 of the family's 1533-position model. The record is from RNAcentral.